RNAcentral lists this long non-coding RNA (1967 nucleotides) under Theobroma cacao (cacao). RNAcentral's name for it is "long non-coding RNA (TCAC_LNC002571)". Lineage: Eukaryota; Viridiplantae; Streptophyta; Magnoliopsida; Malvales; Malvaceae. The record is from RNAcentral.
UCGUAUCCAAAUCAAAACAAUAAAUAUUAUUUUUUGGCUCACAAGGGCAUUUUCGUUAUUUUUUUUUCGAAAAUACCGAAACCCACCAAAAACAUGGUGUAAAAUCUAAAUAUGUUCAUACAUACUUUUAAAUCAGAUAACUAAAGUAUAAAAUUACUUUUACAGUGACUCUUGGGCCCCCAACUGACUAAGAAGGUGUAGGGCUACGAACCCUUACUUUCUAGGAUGCAGCUCCGAGAUUAAUUCUCGUCUUAAUCAAUUAUCAACAAACUGUCCUAAGACUGAAAAAUGGAUAAAAAGAUGGGUAAGAUUACAUAAUUCCAGUGAGUAAACAAUUACCAUCAAAAGCAUCUAAAGCUGAGUAGAUAGAGACAAUAUAAAAACGUUAUAUUUCAAUAAUGUUCAUAACGCAAAAUUUGUUUCAAUCUAUACCAAACAAUUUCUUUUCGUCAAAAUUUCUCUGCUUAUGAAUUUCUUAAACUUGGCCCCUACCAGAAUCAUUCUCGCGAGUACCUUCGUCAAGGUAUCCCACUGAGACCGCCAAGGCUGUUAAAUGUCUCACACCCAUAAACGUGUUUUCACAUCUGACACACAACUGUUCAUUGGCAUUGGCUGAGUCUCACUCUCACGUGGUGGCCCGAACGUGAGGUGCACUCAAAUCUUACCUCAGGAGAUACUUCAUCCAACAUCUCCCCCCGGAGGUAAAUAUAUAAUUGGGUUACCGUGCCCCUCUCACAAGCAGUCCACAGAAACCCCCACCACUGCAGUGAUCGUGUAAUAUACCACCAGACCCAUAAAAUUUUCAGUAGCAUAAUAUGACGAAUAAAAUGUAAUUCAGUCUACCGAGACCAAUCCAAAACUGUUCAUAUAUCUCAUGUCAACCCCAAAAAUUUAGCCAUCAUGCUACCAUAGUGUCAUAAGCCACAAUUUCAAUAACAUAUAAAAUCAUAAAUUUCAACACAGUCUCCAUAUACUUAAUUUUCCCAGAACAAUAUUUGAUUUCAAAACCAGUAUAAAUCUUUAUUAAAAAAAAACAUUUUAAUUGGAAAACAUAAUAUUUUAUAAUUUAAACUCAUCAUUCAAUAAAAGCAUCAAACAAGUAUAAUUACUCUAGAUAUUUAAGAUGAUAAAUUGUCCACUCACAGUUCUAGGAGUAGAUGUACUCCUAAUCCCAGUCUUCAAGCACAAUCUCUGUACUUUUACCAAUGUAAUUUGCUCACCACCUAUCCAUAAUGUACAAUACAUAAUUCACCACAUUAAUGCUUGACCAUUAUAAAAUCAAUUCAGGCUUGAUGUAUAUGCAUGAUAUGAUAUGCAACUUAUCCGAUGACCGCUUAAAUGCGGUGCUGACCUAAUUCGACCUAUUACCCAAUUAAAUGACAAUUAUGUCCGAUUUGGCUCCAGAUUGCUUCAUUUCAUUUCUAGUACCUCAAUUCACCAAACAUUAUUCAAAUAACACCAAUUUCAGCAUCAAAACCCUCCCAUUUCUUCUUGGAAAAAUUCGGCCAUUUCAGUGCACUAACACCGUGAUUUUUCCUACUUAAUUUUCUUACCAUUAUUCAUCAUUUUCUAAGCCAUUUCUCUUGAAAUAAUAACAAUCCAUCACCCACACACAUCAAAGAAGAUUCAGCCAAUGAAGAUUCAUGAGAAAAAUGGAUUCUUUUCUUAUUGUUUUGCUUCUAAAUAUGUUAAACUAACCUUAAUCACUAACAUAACUUAAAAUCAAACAAUUCCAACUUCAUUCUCUCUCCAUACUCAUUUUGACCAGCCAUGAAUUCACCAUGAGAACAUGUAAUUUAACCAUGGAAAAUAAGGAGAAAUGAUUAAGGAAAAUAGAUUUCAAGUUUAAAUUGAAAAACCCUACCUUUUUCACUUGUUUUUCUUGAUUUUCCACACUUUUUCUCUUGAAAUCCUCCACCUAGGUUUUGUUCUUGUUUUUCCUUUCUUUCCUUUUGUCAUGGCCGAAU